UUAAAAAAAAAAAAAAAGAAUUCAGUCCCACUUCACUAUCCCCCCAGCUAGCAAAGAUGUGUCCUCUUGAACAAUCUUCAGGGAGAGGGAAGCCUUGGCUUCAUUCAGAAUCAAAUGACAUUAUUUCCUCCUACCCAAUAUUAGUCAUAUGCUCAUCCCUUCUUUAUAGUGGAUGACCAGCUCUGUUUGCAUCUCCCUGAACUUCAAAAAGCCCUUUGUAUGCAGAGCUGUUGCAGAGAGGCCAAUGAUUAUGGGAUGAUUUAUUUAUAUUAUUAUGGCACAAUAGAAGUCACUUUGGUCCUUGAAUGUGUUCCAGUGACUCAUGAUAUUUUUUCCGAUGUUUUCUGACCUCUGCUCCUUUCCAAAUUCUCCCAUCUCUGAUAAAUUAGCUUCAAAACCACAGAAAAACCACAGCUGUGUUUGUUCGUCAGGGACUUGAAGAAUGAAAGUAACUGUUUUCAUGAGGAAUCUUCAAAGGAGUCCACAGAUUAUGCCAUUUUGAGAACUACCUUGCAAGAAGAGGGGAUCACUCACAGCCAGAAGCUGAACUCCACAGUACAGUUCUUUAAUAUGGCAAAUGCAAGUCUUCUUUUGUAUGUGAGUACUAAGAAAACAUCUUCCAAGAAUCACUCUGUCUGCAACAGAGAGUGUAGUGAGCUGGAGGCUCUCAGGAAUAAAAGAGGAGACGCACAGCACCCUUAUAAGAAGUGGAACUCUCAUGACAUUCAACAAGGGCAUCUGAUAGACAACUUUGACACCUGAUCUCUGGGGACCUUAUGGAGUCACUCAGAGUUCUUAAGAGACUUCCCUUACUUUAUCAUUCCAGAAAGAAUUGUCACAGGUGGAUGUAUCGCACUUUCUCAGGAGCUGAACCUGACCCUUGAAUCCAUCUCAUUUGCACUGCAGGUUUCACAAUGAAUUAAAAUGGAUUAAGUUGGCUUAAUGCUGUUUUACAAGCAAGUGGAAAGCACUGCACCAUUCAUUUUUAAUUUUAAUCCUUUGUCUUAGCCUGCUAAUUACUAUUGUUUUAAGUUCAUUAUCCUGGCGUGCACAUUGUUACUAGUUGGAUGCUAAUGCUUGUAAGCAGUGUUCUUACUUUUGCAGGUACUGACCCUUCAAUUAUCAAAUUAGUCCAUGUCAUUGCUGAACAGCUGACUUUAUAAUCUACAAUUCACUCUUUAAAAUUUUAUUCUUCUCUUGUCUCUAAUUAAUUAAGCAAUAACACUAUUGAAGCAUCUUAUGCAGAGGCUCAACUUCAAGAGCAUUAAAAAGGAGAAAAGAAACUAAAAUUGGAUAUGUGAUUCCUCAAGUUUCUCUGACAACCUUGGGUCAGAGGAAUUCUAUGAUACCAUGUUUGUCUGUAAAGCUUGCAAAAUAUGAUGAUAGAAAGUAAUGUAAGCCCUAUUUUCUGUCUGAUCACCACUUGUUUCAAAUUCUCCACUAAUUACAACCCAGAUGCCACACUACAAUCAAGAGGAAAGCAUAAGGAAGUAAAGAUGACAUUGCUGAGAAAUGAUAUAAAAACAUGAACCAGUCACAGAAUUCAACAAAUUCACUUCUCGUACAGAUUGAAAUGUCUAAUAUAAUGUUCCUUCUUUUCAAUGCAAGGAUUAUCUCCACAAUGACUUCACAAAGCGCAGUUAGCUCUCUGAACAUUUUCUGUGAUGGGAACUCCACAACUUCAAAUUACAAAGCUUUGAUCAUUACAAAGCUGAUUUUUAUGAAUUGCAAGGGAUCCUCCUUUAACUUUCAUCUACUGGUCAUAGUUCUGUGUUCUGGAGCUGCACACACAUACUCACAGGAAAGACCAUUGCCUUUGCUAUAUGACUAUAUUUCAACUAUUUGAAACUUCUGAUUCCCUAAGUAGCAAAACUUUUAGACUCUUUCAUACUCCAUUCAGUCUCUCCUGCAUAUGGGUUCUCUUUAGUCCUCUUCAGUGUAAACUUUCUUGUCAGACAUUUAAAAUACUUUGGAAAAUAAGCCUAUCCUCAAUAUAGUCCAAUAAAUCCAACCAAAACAUAAAGUCUCAUCACCAGUUGUAUGAGCCUCCAUGAAUCUCGACUCACUGGCUUUGCUUUCCUUCCUCAUCACAGUGGAAGUAGUAUCCCUAAUCCUAAGGACUUUAGAUCGUCUCCCAUCUUGUCUGUCCAAAGACCAACACUUGGAGUUAUCCCUACUCUCUUCUACAUCAGCAAUUUAUCCCUUUCUAUAAGAUCAGUAUAGACCAGUCAUGGUGGCUCAUGCCUGGCAAGCAGAUCUGCCUCACUGUCAUUGACAUCCUUACCACGUGUGCGGCAGACAUCCACUGGCAGAGGUUCUUGCAUUGCACUGAGAAGAAUCUGAUUCCAUACCUGAAGAAGCUGAGUGACACCACGCUAAAGAAAAUGCUGCUAAAUGGGUGGGCUACCUGCAUGAGGGGCUCAACCUGAUGGAGUGACACCUGGUGGAGCAACUCUUCAGCUCAGGGGCUCUCCAGGUGGUAGUGCCUUCUUGGAGUCUCUGCUGGGGCAUGAACAUGGCUGCCCACCUGUAAUCAUCAUGAACACCCAGUACUACAAUGGCAAGAUCCACAUCUACAUGGAUUACCCCAUCUACGACAUGCUUCAGAUGGUGGGCCAUGCCAACCACCCUUUGCAGGACAAUGAGGGGCACUGUGUCAUCAUGUGUCAGGUAUCCAACAAGGAUUUCUUCAAGAAGUUCUUAUAUGAGCCAUUGCCAGUAGAAUCUCACCUAUACCACUGUAUGCAUGACCACUUCAAUGCUGAGAUCAUCACCAAGACCAUUGAGAACAAGCAGGAUGCUAUGGACUACCUCACUUACACCUUUCUGUACCGCCACAUGGCACAGAACCCCAGUUACUACAACAGGCAGGGCAUCUCCCAUCAUCACUUGUUCGACCACUUGUCAGAGCCGGUGGAGCAGACCCUGAGUGACCUGGACCAAAUGCAUCAGCAUCAAGGACAUGAUGGAUGUGGUGCCUCUGAACCUGUGCAUGAUCGCUGCCUACUAUUAAAUCAACUACACCACCACUGAGCUCUUCAGCAUGUCACUCAAUGCCAAGACCAAGGUGCGAGGGCUCAUUGAGAUCAUCUCCAAUGAGGCAGAAUAUGAGAACAUUCCCAUCCGGCACCAUGACAACAACCUCCUGAGGCAGUUGGCUCAGAAGGAACCCAAAAGCUGAAUAACCCUAAGUUCAAUGAUCCCCACAUCAAGACCAACCUGCUCCUGAAGGCUCACCUGUCCCGCAUGCAGCUAAGUGCUGAGCUGCAGUCAGAUAUGGAGGAAAUUCUUAGUAAGGCAAUCUGAUUCAUCCAGGCCUGCGUGGAUGUCCUCUCCAGCAAUGGGUGGCUCAGCCCUGCUCUGGCAGGUAUGGAACAUGCCCAGAUGGUCACCCAAGCCAUGUGGUCCAAGGACUCAUACCUGAAGCAGUUGCCACACUUCACCUCUGAGCAUAUCAAACAUUGCACAGACAAAGGAGUAGAGAGUGUUUUUUAUAUCAUGGAGAUGAAGGAUGAAGAACAGAACACAUUGCAUCAGCUGACUGACAGCCAGAUUGCAGAUGUGGCCUGCUUUUGUAACUGCUACCCUAAUAUUGAAGUGUCUUAUGAGGUGGUGGAUAAGGACAGUAUCCGCAGUGGUGGGCUUGUGGUGGUGCUGGUGCAGCUGGAGCAAGAGGAGGAAGUCACAGACCAUAUCACUGCACCUCUCUUCCCACAGAAACGUGGGUGGUGAUUGGAGAUGCCAAGUCCAAUAGCCUCAUCUCCAUCAAGAGGCUGACCCUGCAGCAGAAGGACAAGGUGAAGUUGGACAGUUGGACUUUGUGGCUCCAGCCACUGGUGCCUACAACUACACUCUGUAUUUCAUGAGUGACACUUACAUGGGAUGUGACCAGGAAUACAAAUUCAGUGUGGAUGUGAAAGAAGCUGAGAAUGACAGUGAUUCAGAUUGAGUCCUGAGGCAUUUACUCGUGGCUAAAAGGAGAGUUGAGGCUGAAUUAGGAAUGUGUACAUUGUAGGGAUCCUGGUUGUGGGUACCAGGUUUGUGGGCCUGAGGUCUGGCUAGCCAGGGCUGGUGCUGUUCCCACCCACCUCCACUUCCUUUUCUCUUGUCAUUCUGGAUGCAAUGACAGCAGGUGUCAUGUCAAGCAUAAAUCAUAUAUAGCAUUUUCAGGCAUGUUCCUGGUAGUUCCUUUUGAGUCUGACAUUCUAAUAAAAUAAUUUGUAGAAAAA
Molecule: RNA transcript, 4229 nt
Organism: Callithrix jacchus (white-tufted-ear marmoset)
Lineage: Eukaryota; Metazoa; Chordata; Mammalia; Primates; Cebidae
Gene name: U5 small nuclear ribonucleoprotein 200 kDa helicase pseudogene
Source: RefSeq, a predicted model, not a curated record